GACGAACGCUGGCGGCGUGCCUAAUACAUGCAAGUCGAGCGAAGUUUUUCUGGUGCUUGCACCGGAAAAACUUAGCGGCGAACGGGUGAGUAACACGUAAAGAACCUGCCUCAUAGACUGGGACAACUAUUGGAAACGAUAGCUAAUACCGGAUAACAGCAUUAACUGCAUGGUUGAUGUUUAAAAGUUGGUUUUGCUAACACUAUGAGAUGGCUUUGCGGUGCAUUAGCUAGUUGGUGGGGUAAAGGCCUACCAAGGCGACGAUGCAUAGCCGACCUGAGAGGGUGAUCGGCCACACUGGGACUGAGACACGGCCCAGACUCCUACGGGAGGCAGCAGUAGGGAAUCUUCCGCAAUGGGCGAAAGCCUGACGGAGCAACGCCGCGUAAGUGAAGAAGGAUUUCGGUUCGUAAAGCUCUGUUGUUAGGGAAGAAUGAUUGUGUAGUAACUAUACACAGUAGAGACGGUACCUAACCAGAAAGCCACGGCUAACUACGUG
RNAcentral lists this ribosomal RNA (499 nucleotides) under uncultured bacterium. RNAcentral's name for it is "partial 16S ribosomal RNA". It matches the Rfam family "Bacterial small subunit ribosomal RNA", at positions 28 to 507 of the family's 1533-position model. The record is from RNAcentral.